GAUGAACGCUGGCGGCGUGCCUAAUACAUGCAAGUCGAGCGAACGGACGAGAAGCUUGCUUCUCUGAUGUUAGCGGCGGACGGGUGAGUAACACAUGGAUAACCUACCUAUAAGACUGGGAUAACUUCGGGAAACCGGAGCUAAUACCGGAUAAUAUUUUGAACCGCAUGGUUCAAAAGUGAAAGACGGUCUUGCUGUCGCUUAUAGAUGGAUCCGCGCUGCAUUAGCUAGUUGGUAAGGUAACGGCUUACCAAGGCAACGAUGCAUAGCCGACCUGAGAGGGUGAUCGGCCACACUGGAACUGAGACACGGUCCAGACUCCUACGGGAGGCAGCAGUAGGGAAUCUUCCGCAAUGGGCGAAAGCCUGACGGAGCAACGCCGCGUGAGUGAUGAAGGUCUUCGGAUCGUAAAACUCUGUCAUUAGGGAAGAACAUAUGUGUAAGUAACUGUGCACAUCUUGACGGUACCUAAUCAGAAAGCCACGGCUAACUACGUG
This 497-nucleotide ribosomal RNA is filed under the name uncultured bacterium. RNAcentral describes it as "partial 16S ribosomal RNA". It matches the Rfam family "Bacterial small subunit ribosomal RNA", at positions 28 to 507 of the family's 1533-position model. The record is from RNAcentral.